AACGAACGUUGGCGGCGUGGAUUAGGCAUGCAAGUCGAACGGGGUUGGGGGCAACUCCAACCUAGUGGCGAACGGGUGAGUAACGCGUGGGAAACCUGCCCUUGAGAUGGGGAUAACACUUCUAACGAGGUGCUAAUACCGAAUAAGACCACGAAGUCGCAUGGCUUCGCGGUCAAAGAUGGCCUCUGCUUGCAAGCUAUCACUUAAGGAUGGUCCCGCGUCCCAUUAGCUAGUUGGUGGGGUAAUGGCCUACCAAGGCGACGAUCCAUAGCUGGUCUGAGAGGAUGAUCAGCCACACUGGGACUGAGACACGGCCCAGACUCCUACGGGUGGCAG
This 336-nucleotide ribosomal RNA is filed under the name uncultured Latescibacterota bacterium. Its description in RNAcentral is "bacterial SSU rRNA". It matches the Rfam family "Bacterial small subunit ribosomal RNA", at positions 29 to 351 of the family's 1533-position model. Lineage: Bacteria; Pseudomonadati; Candidatus Latescibacterota. The record is from RNAcentral.